Molecule: ribosomal RNA, 547 nt
Filed under: uncultured bacterium
Lineage: Bacteria
Description: bacterial SSU rRNA
Rfam family: Bacterial small subunit ribosomal RNA
Source: RNAcentral
UGGGGAAUAUUGCGCAAUGGGGGGAACCCUGACGCAGCCAUGCCGCGUGAAUGAAGAAGGCCUUAGGGUUGUAAAGUUCUUUCGGUAUUGAGGAAGGUUGAUGUGUUAAUAGCACAUCAAAUUGACGUUAAAUACAGAAGAAGCACCGGCUAACUCCGUGCCAGCAGCCGCGGUAAUACGGAGGGUGCGAGCGUUAAUCGGAAUAACUGGGCGUAAAGGACACGCAGGCGGUUAUUUAAGUGAGGUGUGAAAGCCCCGGGCUUAACCUGGGAAUUGCAUUUCAGACUGGGUAACUAGAGUACUUUAGGGAGGGGUAGAAUUCCACGUGUAGCGGUGAAAUGCGUAGAGAUGUGGAGGAAUACCGAAGGCGAAGGCAGCCCCUUGGGAAUGUACUGACGCUCAUGUGCGAAAGCGUGGGGAGCAAACAGGAUUAGAUACCCUGGUAGUCCACGCUGUAAACGCUGUCGAUUUGGGGGUUGGGGUUUAACUCUGGCGCCCGUAGCUAACGUGAUAAAUCGACCGCCUGGGGAGUACGGCCGCAAGGUUA